RNAcentral lists this ribosomal RNA (2003 nucleotides) under Klebsiella pneumoniae MGH 36. RNAcentral's name for it is "bacterial LSU rRNA". It matches the Rfam family "Bacterial large subunit ribosomal RNA", at positions 1 to 2033 of the family's 2925-position model. The record is from RNAcentral. Lineage: Bacteria; Pseudomonadati; Pseudomonadota; Gammaproteobacteria; Enterobacterales; Enterobacteriaceae.
UUAAGCGACUAAGCGUACACGGUGGAUGCCCUGGCAGUCAGAGGCGAUGAAGGACGUGCUAAUCUGCGAAAAGCGUCGGUAAGGUGAUAUGAACCGUUAUAACCGGCGAUGUCCGAAUGGGGAAACCCAGUGUGAUUCGUCACACUAUCGUUAACUGAAUACAUAGGUUAACGAGGCGAACCGGGGGAACUGAAACAUCUAAGUACCCCGAGGAAAAGAAAUCAACCGAGAUUCCCCCAGUAGCGGCGAGCGAACGGGGAGCAGCCCAGAGUCUGAAUCAGCUUGUGUGUUAGUGGAACGGUCUGGAAAGUCCGACGGUACAGGGUGAUAGUCCCGUACACCAAAAUGCACAGGCUGUGAACUCGAAGAGUAGGGCGGGACACGUGGUAUCCUGUCUGAAUAUGGGGGGACCAUCCUCCAAGGCUAAAUACUCCUGACUGACCGAUAGUGAACCAGUACCGUGAGGGAAAGGCGAAAAGAACCCCGGCGAGGGGAGUGAAAAAGAACCUGAAACCGUGUACGUACAAGCAGUGGGAGCACCUUCGGGUGUGACUGCGUACCUUUUGUAUAAUGGGUCAGCGACUUAUAUUCUGUAGCAAGGUUAACCGUAUAGGGGAGCCGCAGGGAAACCGAGUCUUAACUGGGCGUUAAGUUGCAGGGUAUAGACCCGAAACCCGGUGAUCUAGCCAUGGGCAGGUUGAAGGUUGGGUAACACUAACUGGAGGACCGAACCGACUAAUGUUGAAAAAUUAGCGGAUGACUUGUGGCUGGGGGUGAAAGGCCAAUCAAACCGGGAGAUAGCUGGUUCUCCCCGAAAGCUAUUUAGGUAGCGCCUCGUGAAUUCAUCUUCGGGGGUAGAGCACUGUUUCGGCUAGGGGGUCAUCCCGACUUACCAACCCGAUGCAAACUACGAAUACCGAAGAAUGUUAUCACGGGAGACACACGGCGGGUGCUAACGUCCGUCGUGAAGAGGGAAACAACCCAGACCGCCAGCUAAGGUCCCAAAGUCAUGGUUAAGUGGGAAACGAUGUGGGAAGGCACAGACAGCCAGGAUGUUGGCUUAGAAGCAGCCAUCAUUUAAAGAAAGCGUAAUAGCUCACUGGUCGAGUCGGCCUGCGCGGAAGAUGUAACGGGGCUAAACCAUGCACCGAAGCUGCGGCAGCGACACUAUGUGUUGUUGGGUAGGGGAGCGUUCUGUAAGCCUGCGAAGGUGACCUGUGAGGGUUGCUGGAGGUAUCAGAAGUGCGAAUGCUGACAUAAGUAACGAUAAAGCGGGUGAAAAGCCCGCUCGCCGGAAGACCAAGGGUUCCUGUCCAACGUUAAUCGGGGCAGGGUGAGUCGACCCCUAAGGCGAGGCCGAAAGGCGUAGUCGAUGGGAAACAGGUUAAUAUUCCUGUACUUGGUGUUACUGCGAAGGGGGGACGGAGAAGGCUAUGUUAGCCGGGCGACGGUUGUCCCGGUUUAAGCAUGUAGGCUGGUUAUCCAGGCAAAUCCGGAUAAUCAAGGCUGAGGUGUGAUGACGAGGCACUACGGUGCUGAAGUAACAAAUGCCCUGCUUCCAGGAAAAGCCUCUAAGCAUCAGGUAACAUCAAAUCGUACCCCAAACCGACACAGGUGGUCAGGUAGAGAAUACCAAGGCGCUUGAGAGAACUCGGGUGAAGGAACUAGGCAAAAUGGUGCCGUAACUUCGGGAGAAGGCACGCUGGUGUGUAGGUGAAGUCCCUGCGGAUGGAGCUGAGACCAGUCGAAGAUACCAGCUGGCUGCAACUGUUUAUUAAAAACACAGCACUGUGCAAACACGAAAGUGGACGUAUACGGUGUGACGCCUGCCCGGUGCCGGAAGGUUAAUUGAUGGGGUUAUCCGUAAGGAGAAGCUCUUGAUCGAAGCCCCGGUAAACGGCGGCCGUAACUAUAACGGUCCUAAGGUAGCGAAAUUCCUUGUCGGGUAAGUUCCGACCUGCACGAAUGGCGUAAUGAUGGCCAGGCUGUCUCCACCCGAGACU